This 411-nucleotide ribosomal RNA is filed under the name uncultured bacterium. RNAcentral's name for it is "partial 16S ribosomal RNA". It matches the Rfam family "Bacterial small subunit ribosomal RNA", at positions 355 to 757 of the family's 1533-position model. The record is from RNAcentral.
UGGGGAAUAUUGCACAAUGGGCGCAAGCCUGAUGCAGCCAUGCCGCGUGUGUGAAGAAGGCCUUCGGGUUGUAAAGCACUUUCAGCGAGGAGGAAGGGUAGUGUGUUAAUAGCACAUUGCAUUGACGUUACUCGCAGAAGAAGCACCGGCUAACUCCGUGCCAGCAGCCGCGGUAAUACGGAGGGUGCAAGCGUUAAUCGGAAUUACUGGGCGUAAAGCGCACGCAGGCGGUUUGUUAAGUCAGAUGUGAAAUCCCCGCGCUUAACGUGGGAACUGCAUUUGAAACUGGCAAGCUAGAGUCUUGUAGAGGGGGGUAGAAUUCCAGGUGUAGCGGUGAAAUGCGUAGAGAUCUGGAGGAAUACCGGUGGCGAAGGCGGCCCCCCUGGACAAAGACUGACGCUCAGGUGCGAA